RNAcentral lists this non-coding RNA (69 nucleotides) under Palpitomonas bilix. The record is from RNAcentral.
UUCCUUCUCUGCUCGCAUCUCCAUUUCAGAUCCAGCCUACCAUCAUACCUACCUAUUACUCGUCACCGU